CUAAUACCGCAUAACCAUUCAGACCACAUGGUCUGAAUGUAAAAGACGGCCUUUGGCUGUCACUUUUGGACGGACCCGCGGCGUAUUAGUUAGUUGGUAAGGUAACGGCUUACCAAGACAAUGAUACGUAGCCGACCUGAGAGGGUAAUCGGCCACAUUGGGACUGAGACACGGCCCAAACUCCUACGGGAGGCAGCAGUAGGGAAUCUUCCACAAUGGACGAAAGUCUGAUGGAGCAACGCCGCGUGAGUGAAGAAGGUUUUAGGAUCGUAAAACUCUGUUGUUGGAGAAGAACAGGGACUAGAGUAACUGUUAGUCCUUUGACGGUAUCCAACCAGAAAGCCACGGCUAACUACGUGCCAGCAGCCGCGGUAAUACGUAGGUGGCAAGCGUUGUCCGGAUUUAUUGGGCGUAAAGCGAGCGCAGGCGGUUUUUUAAGUCUGAUGUGAAAGCCUUCGGCUUAACCGAAGAAGUGCAUUAGAAACUGGGAAACUUGAGUGCAGAAGAGGACAGUGGAACUCCAUGUGUAGCGGUGAAAUGCGUAGAUAUAUGGAAGAACACCAGUGGCGAAGGCGGCUGUCUGGUCUGUAACUGACGCUGAGGCUCGAAAGUAUGGGGAGCGAACAGGAUUAGAUACCCUGGUAGUCCAUACCGUAAACGAUGAAUGCUAAGUGUUGGAGGGUUUCCGCCCUUCAGUGCUGCAGCUAACGCAUUAAGCAU
Molecule: ribosomal RNA, 720 nt
Filed under: Loigolactobacillus coryniformis subsp. torquens
Lineage: Bacteria; Bacillati; Bacillota; Bacilli; Lactobacillales; Lactobacillaceae
Description: bacterial SSU rRNA
Rfam family: Bacterial small subunit ribosomal RNA
Source: RNAcentral